GGAGGGGGUGGUGAAGCCGCCUGGCAGGCCAUGAGUCUCAUGCUAUGCGGAUGAGAAGCACGUGGUUCCCCUGCAGCUUACUGUUAAGCCUAAUGGAAAAUACCAACAGCUGAGCUAAGUUGAUGGAACACUGGACAGCAAAGGGAAAAGAUGAAGGCAGCUUUGCAGAUUUUGCAGACUUAUCUGCAUGCCAGGGCUGUUUCUAGGAGCGGAUGGUAUAUUUCACACGCUUGGUUUACUGAUCAUUUUAAAGAGUCUUUUCUUAAGUCAAAACUUUACAGGAAAAAAACAUCAGUAUAUAAAGAACAUAAAUAAAAGAUUUAAUUUCCUUAUACCUUUCAUUAUAGCUAAUGAAAAGAAUAGUGGUGGUGGAAGUUAUAGUAAAUGUUUUCAUGAGAAAAGGUCAAUGACAACAAUAUCAAAUUCUCAUAAAAUCUUGUUUUAGUAAAUGAAACAAUGAAAUGAAAGAAGAUAUAAUGUCUGCUAUGUAGUAUUAUACAUCUGUAAGCCCUGUUGCAAAAAUAGUACAGGUCACCCUUUCUCAUCAGCUUGAAGUGACUAUUAAAACAUUCACAUAUUGUUUUUUCUCCUCUUCAAACAACACUGAAAGUGAAGGAAGUACAAGGUUUGAAAGAACAAUGCUCUUCACAGGUCCUUUGUUUUAAUAAUUAUACACAUAUACACACAUUCAUUUUCAUCAAUAACCUUUUAACUUUUAUGCUGGAAAAUUCAAUAUGAGCCUUUAACAAGAAAUUAGAUUUUACUUCUCUAUUUUUUGUAUGUAAGAACUGAAACCUAAUCUCUGUUGUUCCCUUCUAGUACUUUAUGAUUCAUUUUAUGCAUGUAGAAGAAAUGCACUACACUUAUUGUUAUAGAAAUUGCUACAUUGCUAUAGAUGCAUAAACUGUUGUAUAUGAAAUUACAUAAACAUUCAGUAUUUGUUUGUUUGUCCAAAAUAAGUGCCUUGUUGCCUGACAGAAAAAUGCACUGAAGUUAAUGGGGUGGACAAGCUUCAUUGCACUGAUGUCUUCUGGAUGUUGGGGAGCUUGUUUUUGCUGCAGUGUUAAUUAGCACUAAACCUCAGGUGGAGACCUGAGCUCAGAGAGGCGGUUUCCCCACACUUUCCACCUGCUUGAGGUUGUGGGUUGACAUUAAAUUGAUUCUGAAACACGUGAUUGUAAUUAAGCUGAAGUUAAAACUGUUCAUAAAAUACUGAACUUAGUCACUCUUCUAAUUGAAGUCCUAUU
Molecule: long non-coding RNA, 1247 nt
Organism: Numida meleagris (helmeted guineafowl)
Lineage: Eukaryota; Metazoa; Chordata; Aves; Galliformes; Numididae
Exons: 3
Source: RefSeq, a predicted model, not a curated record